UUGUAGAUUUCGCACACUCGAUAAGCCUUCGUGGUUCAGUCGUGCGGAGUGGUAGGAGAGCGUCGUGUGGCGAGUGAAGCGGCGGAGUGAUCCAGCCGUGGACGCUACACGAGUGAGAAUGCAGGCAUGAGUAGCGAAAGACGGGUGAGAAACCCGUCCUCCGAAAGACCAAGGGUUCCAGGGCCAGGUUAAUCCGCCCUGGGUAAGUCGGGACCUAAGGCGAGGCCGACAGGCGUAGUCGAUGGACAACGGGUUGAUAUUCCCGUACCGGCGAACAACCGCCCAAGCUAAUCCAGUGGUGCUAAGAGUCCUAACCCGCAUUGACCGGAUCCCUUCGGGGUGAUGGCGUGCGGUCUAACGCUCGACCCCAUGCUGGUGCGGUUAGCGUAUGAACAGGUGUGACGCAGGAAGGUAGCUGAGCCAGGCGAUGGUAUCCGUAAGGUGAUCCUGGUGUAAGGAUGUAGGGCUGACGAUAGGCAAAUCCGUCGUCUAGAUGCCUGAGAUCCGACGCGUACCCGUAAGGGGAAAUCAGUGAUCCUAUGCUGCCGAGAAAAGCAUCGACGCGAGGUUGCAGCCGCCCGUACCCGAAACCGACUCAGGUGGUCAGGUAGAGAAUACCAAGGAGAUCGAGAGAAUCGUGGUUAAGGAACUCGGCAAAAUGCCCCCGUAACUUCGGGAGAAGGGGGGCCGGACACGUGAUGCGGACUUGCUCCGCUGAGCGUUGAAGGCCGCAGAGACCAGUGGGAAGCGACUGUUUACUAAAAACACAGGUCCGUGCGAAGUCGCAAGACGAUGUAUACGGACUGACGCCUGCCCGGUGCUGGAAGGUUAAGAGGAAGGGUUAGCCUUUGGGCGAAGCUCUGAAUUUAAGCCCCAGUAAACGGCGGUGGUAACUAUAACCAUCCUAAGGUAGCGAAAUUCCUUGUCGGGUAAGUUCCGACCUGCACGAAUGGCGUAACGACUUCCCAGCUGUCUCAACCGCGAACUCGGCGAAAUUGCACUACGAGUAAAGAUGCUCGUUACGCGCAGCAGGACGGAAAGACCCCGUGACCUUUACUACAGCUUGGUAUUGGUGUUCGGUGUGGCUUGUGUAGGAUAGGUGGGAGACUGUGAAGCGGGCACGCUAGUGUUCGUGGAGUCGUUGUUGAAAUACCACUCUGGUCACUCUGGAUGUCUAACGUAGGACCCUGAUCGGGUUCAUGGACAGUGCCUGGUGGGUAGUUUAACUGGGGCGGUUGCCUCCCAAAGAGUAACGGAGGCGCCCAAAGGUUCCCUCAACCUGGUUGGCAAUCAGGUGGCGAGUGUAAGUGCACAAGGGAGCUUGACUGUGAGACUGACAGGUCGAGCAGGGACGAAAGUCGGGACUAGUGAUCCGGCAGUGGCUUGUGGAAGCGCUGUCGCUCAACGGAUAAAAGGUACCUCGGGGAUAACAGGCUGAUCUUGCCCAAGAGUCCAUAUCGACGGCAUGGUUUGGCACCUCGAUGUCGGCUCGUCGCAUCCUGGGGCUGGAGUAGGUCCCAAGGGUUGGGCUGUUCGCCCAUUAAAGCGGUACGCGAGCUGGGUUUAGAACGUCGUGAGACAGUUCGGUCCCUAUCCGCUGCGCGCGUUGGAAAUUUGAGAAGAUCUAUCCCUAGUACGAGAGGACCGGGAUGGACGAACCUCUGGUGUGUCAGUUGUUCUGCCAAGGGCACCGCUGAUUAGCUACGUUCGGACCGGAUAACCGCUGAAAGCAUCUAAGCGGGAAGCCGUCUUCGAGAUGAGAUUUCCAUGCACCUUGAGUGUGAGAGGCUCCCAGCAGACUACUGGGUUGAUAGGCCGGAUGUGGAAGCGGGGACUAACGACCCGUGGAGCUGACCGGUACUAAUAAGCCGAAGACUUGACAAC
RNAcentral lists this ribosomal RNA (1884 nucleotides) under Curtobacterium sp. 320. RNAcentral's name for it is "partial 23S ribosomal RNA". It matches the Rfam family "Bacterial large subunit ribosomal RNA", at positions 1200 to 2925 of the family's 2925-position model. Lineage: Bacteria; Bacillati; Actinomycetota; Actinomycetes; Micrococcales; Microbacteriaceae. The record is from RNAcentral.